Molecule: long non-coding RNA, 711 nt
Organism: Octopus sinensis (East Asian common octopus)
Lineage: Eukaryota; Metazoa; Mollusca; Cephalopoda; Octopoda; Octopodidae
Exons: 2
Source: RefSeq, a predicted model, not a curated record
AUGUAGCGUAUAUAUAAAUAUAUGUAUGUAUGUAUAUACGUCUAUAUGAUGUACGCUUCUCAUGUAUAUACAUAGACACACACAUGUGUACAUAUAAUUGUAUAUUAAAUUAAUUGUUAAUAGCAGACGAUAUACAAAAGUUUAAACAGAAUCGGAGGAAAAAUAAGAAAAGAAAAGAGAAAAAUCAAAGAAGGAUAUACUAGUAAUAGAUCUAUAUAUAUAUACAUAUAUAUUUAAAAAAAAGCAUAUAAAUACAAUAUAUAUAUAUAUAUAUAUAUAAAUAUAUAUAUAUAUAUUAAAAAAGGAUAUAUAUAUACGUAUUUUUUAAAAAAUCUAUAAACUAAACGAAAAAAAAAAUAACAUAAAGAAAACGAGGAAUGCCUAUACAACAUAGAUCGGUGACAACAUUGCAAAAUUUGUUGUUUUUCAAGGGGGGAUUUUCAAUGUUGUUUGUGUUGGGUUUUUUUCUUGGUGAUUUUCCCCAUUCCUGAGUGAGUAGUAUGUAUACCAUUGGAACCAGGUGCAGAGUGGCACCGUUAUCACUUACCAGAACAACAACUAUCGUCAUAAAGGAUAUUCGGUAAAACAUAUUAUACCCAGCCAAUACACCGGAUAGUUAUUCGUUCCGAAUUGGAUUGUAUCUCACUUGAAUGUUCUAACAGUCAAUUGGAAAAACAAACAAAUACCCGAUAAUAAUAAUAAUAAAAAUAA